Molecule: microRNA precursor, 105 nt
Organism: Prunus persica (peach)
Lineage: Eukaryota; Viridiplantae; Streptophyta; Magnoliopsida; Rosales; Rosaceae
Rfam family: MIR6274 microRNA precursor family
Source: Rfam
GGAUAACACUUUUUGCUAUCUCCGAUCAAUAACGUAAUGACACAUAGAAUAACUUUUUCAUGUAUCAUUAUGUUAUUGGUCGGGAAUAACAAAACAAUGUUAUCU